GGAGGAGUGUCCGAGUGGUUAAAGGAGACGGACUGUAAAUCCGUUGGCUAAGCCUACGCUGGUUCGAAUCCAGCCUCCUCCACCA
Molecule: transfer RNA, 85 nt
Filed under: Oricola cellulosilytica
Lineage: Bacteria; Pseudomonadati; Pseudomonadota; Alphaproteobacteria; Hyphomicrobiales; Ahrensiaceae
Also listed under: 3 other names
Description: tRNA-Tyr
Rfam family: tRNA
About the family: Transfer RNA (tRNA) molecules are approximately 80 nucleotides in length. Their secondary structure includes four short double-helical elements and three loops (D, anti-codon, and T loops).
Source: RNAcentral